GCAUAAAAUGUGCUGAGUAGUUGACUCAGAGAGAAAGAAGGACAAUAGUUUAAUAACAGUUUUAUACAAAUUCAUUUCUUCCAACAUUAAGAAGUAAGAGGGAUCGAGUUAGAGAGAGAUCUAGCUCUAUUUGGUUGUAUUUUUUAUAAACUUUCACUUUUACUUAGCUAGUGAAUGUAGCUGGCUAGUUUAGCCUACUCAAACACCCAGCUCAAACAGUGAAGGAUGAUUUGUUAGCUAGCUGGCUAUGGCUAUCCAACACUGGAAUUCUUCCAAGACAAGAAUAGCCUGAGCCAGUUUGAUAGACCAGAGCAGAGCAGACACAGCCAGUGAUCGCCACCCCACUGCACUCAUUGUCCUGUGAAUCCUCCUAUUGCCCUCUAGUGGUGGAGACCAUGGAUGCAGGGUGUACUGCAGUCAACAGUCCUGAGAACAACUGUUUCACAGUGAACCAG
RNAcentral lists this long non-coding RNA (455 nucleotides) under Salmo salar (Atlantic salmon). RNAcentral describes it as "lncRNA (ENSSSAG00000100282.1)". Lineage: Eukaryota; Metazoa; Chordata; Actinopteri; Salmoniformes; Salmonidae. The record is from RNAcentral.